AUACGUAGGUCCCGAGUGUUAUCCGGAAUUACUGGGCGUAAAGCGUCUGUAGCCGGAUCUAUAAGUCUGUUUUCAAAUCCUAUGGCUUAACCAUAGAAAGGGAAUGGAUACUGUAAAUCUAGAGAUUACUAGGGGUUGGUGGAAUUUCCGGUGGAGCGGUGAAAUGCGUUGAUAUCGGAAGGAACGCCAAAAGCGAAAGCAGCCAACUAUAGUAAAUCUGACGGUAAGAGACGAAAGCUUGGGGAGCAAACAGGAUUAGAAACCCGAGUAGUCC
RNAcentral lists this ribosomal RNA (274 nucleotides) under uncultured bacterium. Its description in RNAcentral is "partial 16S ribosomal RNA". It matches the Rfam family "Bacterial small subunit ribosomal RNA", at positions 523 to 796 of the family's 1533-position model. The record is from RNAcentral.